This 253-nucleotide ribosomal RNA is filed under the name uncultured Bacteroides sp. RNAcentral describes it as "partial 16S ribosomal RNA". It matches the Rfam family "Bacterial small subunit ribosomal RNA", at positions 524 to 776 of the family's 1533-position model. Lineage: Bacteria; Pseudomonadati; Bacteroidota; Bacteroidia; Bacteroidales; Bacteroidaceae. The record is from RNAcentral.
UACGGAGGAUCCGAGCGUUAUCCGGAUUUAUUGGGUUUAAAGGGAGCGUAGGUGGAUUGUUAAGUCAGUUGUGAAAGUUUGCGGCUCAACCGUAAAAUUGCAGUUGAAACUGGCAGUCUUGAGUACAGUAGAGGUGGGCGGAAUUCGUGGUGUAGCGGUGAAAUGCUUAGAUAUCACGAAGAACUCCGAUUGCGAAGGCGGCCGCCUGGCCUGUUACUGACGCUGAGGCACGAAAGCGUGGGGAGCAAAUAGG